GAUCGCCUCAAGAUUGAUGAGGGUCGACAAGGAUGAUGUCGGGAUCGUUUCCCCUAAAUCGAACAGAGGUAAAUAUGGAUUUCAGAUAAACUUUAGAGAGUUUCAGUUGUGAUUUAGAUUUUGGGGUUUUCUCCAUAUGUUGAUGAUUUUUGUGAUCGUUCUUGGCAUCGAGAAUCGAUGGAGCCUCCGGGAGUCGGAGAUCAUGGCGGCGUUGAGAUUGAUGGUUUUGGGCCCCAAGAGACUCGGAAGAUCAUCAGUGAAGAUAGCCUUUUUGCAAGGUCAGAAAAGUUCAAUGCCCGAUCUGCAAGUUUGGAAAGUUAAUUGACCUCUCUGUGGUUUCUUUAUAGUUUAAGGAUCAAGUUGUAGUUUUUGGAAAUUGGAUGACUGAUCUAACAUAAGUAUAAUAUCCAGGGACUGGUUUUUGCCAAGCUGGGAAGUGAAAGGACGAUUCUGCCCCUGUAAGUUUCAGAUUGUUACAAAGGAGUAAUUUGAGGAUAACUCGAUAGUUUGAGCUCUAAAAGACGCACGGUCAAAGGCUACGGAUUUGUGGCAGCGAGAGGAAUAAUGUCAAGUCAGAAUAAGAUAUGUAAACUCUUCAUAAGAGAGGUGAGGUCUAGGAUUACUUUUCUACUUUAAGCGUAGAAUUGUAAUUAGGUGGUCAGGAAUCCAUUGAAUGAUUCUCAGAACUGUACAGUAGUGUGUGAUCUACUGUACAUGUGGUUUAUUUUAGAUCAGUACUCUUAGGUUGUAUAGUAGCGUGUGAUCUACUGUAUAAAUAGUUAUUUUAUUUCUAGCAUAAGUUCUUGGCGAUUGAACUGUGGCGUGUGAUUCAUAAUUCAGAUUAGGACAAGAUCAGGAUUAGCUAGAUUAGCUCUCGUUUAUGCGUUGGUCACCCAAUCAUGGAUGGUGUAAUCCCCCACGAUUCAUUCAGGUUCAGACAGGACGUGAUGAGUUAACCUUUUGUGUUGUUCUCACGGUAUUUUAAGGGGGUUUCAUGGUCUGAUCCACAAUGAUGUUGUUCGCUCUUAGGUAGGGGUGGCUGAUGCUAGGGUGAUGCCUACAGGACCACAUGGUCACAUUAUUAGUUUCAGUGUUUAGAUAGAAUUCUUCUCCUAUCCUCAGUAAAGUGUCAGUACAAAUACAGUAAAUUCUCAAUAAAGGCUCAGUAAAGUCUCAGUACAGGCGUAGUAAAAUCUUAGUUCAGUUUCAGUUCUACGCAAGACUAGUUUAGCCACUCAGUGUUUAUCACUAACCAUGUUAGAUAUUGUUUUCCGUGCUGUAUCUAUAUGUUCAGUCACAGGUAUUGGAGCUGAUGGUGGAGAGAGAGUUGGUCAGGGUUUUGAUAUAUCUUAUGAUAUCGUUUUUUGGUGUAUUUUUCAGAAGUGGAGUUGUAUCUCUUUUUGUUGUGUUGUGUUUUGAGAUCCGAGACCCCUGUAGGUCAAAUCUUUAAAUGGUUAUUUAAUGAUGUUCAGUUCCAGCUUUUAUUGCUUGUUCAAUGUUUUGAUUAGUGGUUU
This 1514-nucleotide long non-coding RNA is filed under the name Linum usitatissimum (flax). RNAcentral's name for it is "long non-coding RNA (LUSI_LNC003911)". The record is from RNAcentral. Lineage: Eukaryota; Viridiplantae; Streptophyta; Magnoliopsida; Malpighiales; Linaceae.